Molecule: ribosomal RNA, 509 nt
Filed under: uncultured bacterium
Lineage: Bacteria
Description: partial 16S ribosomal RNA
Rfam family: Bacterial small subunit ribosomal RNA (bases 16-369)
Source: RNAcentral
GACGAACGCUGGCGGCGUGCUUAACACAUGCAAGUCGAACGGAAAGGCCCUGCUUUUGUGGGGUGCUCGAGUGGCGAACGGGUGAGUAACACGUGAGUAACCUGCCCUUGACUUUGGGAUAACUUCAGGAAACUGGGGCUAAUACCGGAUAGGAGCUCCUGCUGCAUGGUGGGGGUUGGAAAGUUUCGGCGGUUGGGGAUGGACUCGCGGCUUAUCAGCUUGUUGGUGGGGUAGUGGCUUACCAAGGCUUUGACGGGUAGCCGGCCUGAGAGGGUGACCGGGGAGAUGGAGGUGUAGAGACGGCAGAGAGAGAUGCGGGAGGGAGCAGUGGGGAAUCUGAGACAGUGGGGGGGGCCUGAGGGACCAGCGGCUGCGGGCGCGAAGGCGCCGGUGGGAUUGAGACCCGCGAGCGAGUGGGACGAAGCGGGGGUGACGGAAAAGAAUAAAGAAGCAAGGGCAAACCACGCGCCAGAAGGCGCGGUAAUAAACGGAAGAGAAAACGCACGACC